GUGCAAUGAUGCUUAUUAACACAUCAUUCUUUAAAAAAAUGUGUAGAAAACUAAUAACUGAGCAUA
Small nucleolar RNA from Suncus etruscus (white-toothed pygmy shrew), 66 nucleotides. RefSeq annotates it as small nucleolar RNA SNORD63. NCBI's taxonomy places the organism in Eukaryota, Metazoa, Chordata, Mammalia, Eulipotyphla, Soricidae. The transcript has a single exon. The record is from RefSeq and is a predicted model, not a curated record.